GAUUCUGGUUGAUCCUGCCGGACCUGACUGCUAUCGGAUUGGUACUAAGCCAUGCGAGUCGUUGUACAAUACAAGGCGGACUGCUCAGUAACACGUAGUUAACUUAACCUAUGGAUGGGAAUAACCUCGGGAAACUGAGAAUAAUACCCAAUGGGCCACAGUGCCUGGAAUGGCCUGUGGUUGAAAUGAUUUAUCGCCGUAGGAUAGGACUGCGGCCUAUCAGCUUGUUGGUGAGGUAAUGGCCCACCAAGGCUAUAACAGGUACGGGCUCUGAGAGGAGGGGCCCGGAGAUGGGUACUGAGACACGGACCCAGGCCCUAUGGGGCGCAGCAGGCGAGAAACCUUUGCAAUGUGCGAAAGCACGACAAGGUUAAUCCGAGUGUCUCCUGCUAAAGGAGUCUUUUGUCAGUUGUAGAAUCACUGGUGAAUAAGGGGUGGGCAAGUUCUGGUGUCAGCCGCCGCGGUAAAACCAGCACCUCGAGUGGUCAGGAGGUUUAUUGGGCCUAAAGCAUCCGUAGCCGGUUGCAUAAGNUUUCGGUUAAAUCUAUGCGCUUAACGUAUAGGCCGCCGAAAAUACUGUGCAGCUAGGGAGUGGCGGA
Molecule: ribosomal RNA, 599 nt
Filed under: uncultured archaeon
Lineage: Archaea
Description: bacterial SSU rRNA
Rfam family: Archaeal small subunit ribosomal RNA
Source: RNAcentral